Molecule: ribosomal RNA, 403 nt
Filed under: uncultured bacterium
Lineage: Bacteria
Description: partial 16S ribosomal RNA
Rfam family: Bacterial small subunit ribosomal RNA
Source: RNAcentral
GCCGAACGCUGGCGGCGUGCCUAAUACAUGCAAGUCGAACGCAGUGGGGACGGGUGAGUAACACGUGGGUAACCUCCCAUCAGAGGGGAUAACACUUGGCAACAGGUGCUAAACCGAUACUGAUGGAUGGACCCGCGGUGCAUUAGCUAGUUGGUGCGGUAACGGCUCACCAAGGCCACGAUGCAUAGGCGAACUGAUAGGGUGAGCGGCCACACUAGGACUAAGACAAGGACCAGAAUCAUACGGUAGGCAGCAGAAGAGAAUCUUCGGCACAGGAAGAAAGUCUGACCGAGCAACGCGGCGUGAGUGAAGAAGGUUGUCGGAACGUAAAACUCUGUUGUUAGAGAAGCGGUAUCUAACCAGAAGGCAACGGCUAACUACGUGCCAGCAGCCGCGGUAAUUC